RNAcentral lists this ribosomal RNA (520 nucleotides) under uncultured bacterium. Its description in RNAcentral is "bacterial SSU rRNA". It matches the Rfam family "Bacterial small subunit ribosomal RNA", at positions 9 to 526 of the family's 1533-position model. The record is from RNAcentral.
GAGUUUGAUCCUGGCUCAGGAUGAACGCUGGCGGCGUGCUUAACACAUGCAAGUCGAACGAAGCACUUUACCACGAUUCCUUCGGGAUGACGGUUUAGUGACUGAGUGGCGGACGGGUGAGUAACGCGUGGGGAACCUGCCCCAUACCGGGGGAUAACAGCCGGAAACGGCUGCUAAUACCGCAUAAGCGCACAGUACCGCAUGGUACGGUGUGAAAAACUCCGGUGGUAUGGGAUGGACCCGCGUCUGAUUAGCCAGUUGGCGGGGUAACGGCCCACCAAAGCGACGAUCAGUAGCCGGCCUGAGAGGGCGACCGGCCACAUUGGGACUGAGACACGGCCCAGACUCCUACGGGAGGCAGCAGUGGGGAAUAUUGCACAAUGGGGGAAACCCUGAUGCAGCGACGCCGCGUGAGUGAGGAAGUAUUUCGGUAUGUAAAGCUCUAUCAGCAGGGAAGAAGAAAUGACGGUACCUGACUAAGAAGCCCCGGCUAACUACGUGCCAGCCGCCGCGGUAAUUC